AGCUCCAAUAGCGUAUAUUAAAGUUGUUGCAGUUAAAAAGCUCGUAGUUGGAUUUCUGGUAGGAGUGACCGUUCCGGACUUGAUUGUCUGUGUAUUGUGUUGUCUCCAGCCAUCCUUGUGGAGAACUUUUCUUGCAUUAAUUUGUAGGGAUUGAGACCCGCAUCGUUUACUGUGAAAAAAUUAGAGUGUUUAAAGCAGGCAAUCGCUUGAAUACAUUAGCAUGGAAUAAUAAGAUAGGACUUUGGUACUAUUUUGUUGGUUUGCAUACCAAAUUAAUGAUCAACAGGAACAGUUUGAGGAUAUUCGUAUGAACAUGUCAGAGGUGAAAUUCUUGGAUUUUGAUCAGACGAACUACUGCGAAAGCAUUUAUCAAGGAUGUUUUCAUUAAUCAAGAACGAAA
RNAcentral lists this ribosomal RNA (400 nucleotides) under phytoplankton environmental sample. Its description in RNAcentral is "partial small subunit ribosomal RNA". It matches the Rfam family "Eukaryotic small subunit ribosomal RNA", at positions 587 to 988 of the family's 1831-position model. The record is from RNAcentral.